UCCAAGUCCAGCAAUGAGUACGGUAAUGCUGACAUGGCCCAAAGAGGGUGAAAGGCCCGUUGGGGUGGAGAGGCAGAAAUGACAGCACCUUCCUGGAUAGACCUUGGAGUCGGGUUGUUUGUGAAUGCAGCCCAAAGUGGGUGGUAAACUCCAUCCAAGGCUAAAUACUUGCACGAGUCCGAUAGCGAACAAGUACCGUGAGGGAAAGUUGAAAAGUACUUUGAAGAGAGAGUAAACAGUGCGUGAAACCGCUCAGAGGUAAACAGGUGGAGUUGAACUGUGAGCUCUGUGGAUUUAGCUGGUGAGUGUGGUUUGAGCUUGGUCAAAUUGGUUGAUGCUCGGGGUCUGCGUAUCAGCAGGUCUUCACCUUCGGGUGGAGAUGCGCGAUGCACUUAUCAAGUGUUGCGCGCUUCGAGUUUAUUCGGGCCAGCUUGCCAGUGCACUUUCGCAGAGCGGUCACCACGACCGGCAUCGCUGUCUUGCUGUUGUGGUUAAACCGGCCUCGCAUUGUCCUUGUGGCUUUGUCUGGUCGGGAUGGCAGGUAGCCCGUUGGCUUUCCUGUGGCUUGCUACAGGAGUACGGUCCUCGGGUGUAAUCAGCUGACCACAUCGGUUAUGUGCAGUAUGUCGGAGACGGCGGCUUGUGGUGUGUGCGUGCGUGCCAGUCGGUCGGCGUGUCCGGGUUUGGUUGUUAUUUGCCUGUGUUCACAGGGCUAGUGAUAUCCCGGAUUCGUUCGGUCGGCGGCUGCGUGCGUGUCACUGUUUCCAGGGCCAAUAGUCUGUGGUGUUGCGGUAGACUAUCCACCUGACCCGUCUUGAAACACGGACCAAGGAGAGUAACAUGUGCGCGAGUCAUUGGGCGUAACGAAACCCAAAGGCGAAGUGAAAGUGAAGGUCUGGCUUGUCCGGACUGAGGUGAGAUCCUGUCGUGCCUCAUGCGCGGUAUCACCAAGCAUCGAGCGGCAGGCGCAUCACCGGCCCGUCCCAUGGUGUGAUGACCCUAUUCAGAGUUUGUCAUCGGGGCGGAGCAUGAGCGUACAUGUUGAGACCCGAAAGAUGGUGAACUAUGCUUGCGCAGGUUGAAGCCAGAGGAAAC
Molecule: ribosomal RNA, 1095 nt
Filed under: Opisthorchis noverca
Lineage: Eukaryota; Metazoa; Platyhelminthes; Trematoda; Opisthorchiida; Opisthorchiidae
Description: eukaryotic LSU rRNA
Rfam family: Eukaryotic large subunit ribosomal RNA
Source: RNAcentral